AACGAACGCUGGCGGCAUGCCUAACACAUGCAAGUCGAACGAGACCUUCGGGUCUAGUGGCGCACGGGUGCGUAACGCGUGGGAAUCUGCCCUUCGGUUGGGAAUAACUGAGAGAAAUUUCAGCUAAUACCUUAUAAUGUCUUCGGACCAAAGAUUUAUCGCCGAGGGAUGAGCCCGCGUAGGAUUAGGUAGUUGGUGGGGUAAUGGCCUACCAAGCCGACGAUCCUUAGCUGGUCUGAGAGGAUGAUCAGCCACACUGGGACUGAGACACGGCCCAGACUCCUACGGGAGGUAGCAGUGGGGAAUAUUGGACAAUGGGCGAAAGCAUGAUCCAGCAAUGCCGCGUGAGUGAUGAAGGCCUUAGGGUUGUAAAGCUCUUUUACCCGGGAUGAUAAUGACAGUACCGGGAGAAUAAGCUCCGGCUAACUCCGUG
This 433-nucleotide ribosomal RNA is filed under the name uncultured bacterium. RNAcentral's name for it is "partial 16S ribosomal RNA". It matches the Rfam family "Bacterial small subunit ribosomal RNA", at positions 29 to 507 of the family's 1533-position model. The record is from RNAcentral.